GGAUCAUAAAACUGAAUCAAAGUAGAAAGAAGUCCAUAUGCCAAGUAGAUCUUCAAAAGAGAGAGAAAAUGUCCAUAUCUUUUGCUGAAAGCCUCUGUGUCAACAACCAAGGAUCCCAAUCUCCUUAGAUCUUCUAACUUAGGACUCUUGAAAGUGUACUUUUGAGUAUUUUUCCUUCCAAAAUCCAUGAUAAACCUAAUGUUUGCAACAAAAGUUCCUAAGUUCCUUGAA
RNAcentral lists this long non-coding RNA (231 nucleotides) under Lathyrus oleraceus (garden pea). RNAcentral's name for it is "Pisum sativum (pea) long non-coding RNA (PSAT_LNC010727)". Lineage: Eukaryota; Viridiplantae; Streptophyta; Magnoliopsida; Fabales; Fabaceae. The record is from RNAcentral.